Molecule: long non-coding RNA, 2961 nt
Organism: Acanthopagrus latus (yellowfin seabream)
Lineage: Eukaryota; Metazoa; Chordata; Actinopteri; Spariformes; Sparidae
Exons: 2
Source: RefSeq, a predicted model, not a curated record
AGGUGAAAAUGUCAAUAGGGUCAAAGGUCAGCGUCGGAUGCAAUUACUCAUUGUUCAAUCAACGAUGGAAAUUCAAUUAGCUGCUGGAGAUUUAAAAUCCCCCUUUCCUAUGUCGCUGACUACAACAUAUGACCUGUACAUGGCAAUGUAUGAUUGAUUGUGUUCAUUUUGAAGCCCUUCUGAUUAGAAAGUAAUCAAUUACAUAAUGACUAAAGCUAACACAUUUUCCAGCCGUGGCUUUUACCCUACAGUUUUGAAUUAACACCCAAUGCGAGCGCUCCCAGACGGGCCAACCAGAGGAAUCCUCCGGCUCGUGGUUUUCAUUUAACCUUGCCACCCUGAAGGACACCCAAAGAAAGACCGCUCUGUAAAAUAAUUGCAUGUCAUUUUUAGCCAGCCCCAGCCACACGCACGCACACCCAUCUGAGUGAUGAUCGGGGAAGAGGCUGGAGGUCCGCAGCUGCCUCACUAUCAUCAUUAGGAGCAAGUGGCUUUUACAGUAAUUAUUGUGCCUCUUAGGAUUUGGCACUGCGAGCUGGAGCAUAUCGGGUGUCCCCGCACUUCAUUAUAUCCUGACAGGCACCGUGUCAACCUGCCCCAUCUUCUCUUGGUUCCCUAGUUACCACAGCCCCGAGGUGCUUAGAAAAAUCUCCACAUUGCAGGAAAAAGUGCAUUUUUUUUCUCUCGCGUGCUGCAGCAGAAAUAACUGCAGCGGCAACGUCAUUUUCAUUGCAUAGUAAAGCGUCUCAUUAUACCGUGUGUCCCCUGAGACAUAACGAGGGGUGAGGACAGCUCUGUGCGCUCUCGCCAGCUCUUGAGGAUAGGUCAGUGGCCGUGAAUCCUCCCUCUGUGUGUGUCGCUGAUCAUCUCCUCUGGUUCCCCCCGAGCGAUGUGAACCACAGGAUAUUAAUUGUUAAGCACAAACACAGACGUGAUUAUGAUCACUGAAAUCUUAGCAAUUCCUUCCCCGUGGCCCCUGUGUGGGGAUAUACAACGGGUGAAAAGCACUGCUGUGUAACUCCUUACAUACCGAGGAGUACAGAUUAAAUUACAUUAAUGUGAUGGAUGCUUUUGAUCAGUUUUCAAUGCAAUAAGAGUAAAAAGCUAGAUCAUCAAAGCAAGGAGCUGCAACUCAGAAUGCUGUGCAGGAUGUAUUCCAGUGCCACAAGGACAGUAUGGGGAUUUGAAUGUACCAUGAAGAAGAUGUCCUGUAUCAUAGCAACAUGUUUUUUUGUUGUUGUUGUUUUUUUAUGUUCUUUACAUUAAAAAAAAUGCAACAGACAGACCAAGGGACAACAGACAGGGUCAUCAAAACGCUUGGCAAAGGAAAACCAGAGCCACAACUGAGCACAGAGAGCAGCAUCAUUGCCUCCUCUCUCCCUGCAUCAGGACAAGAGGAGGUCUGCGAGACGACAACCAGGACAAAAUUGUGACACUAAUGGUCUCUCCCGAGUCAAGUCACGUAGUAGAAAAAAAAAACACAUUCCUGAGAUGAGAUCUUGGGGGAACUGUCAGGCUCUUGGGCUGCGCCUGUCCAGCUCAUCCACACAAAUGGAAUAUAACCCAGGCAGGGGUUACACAUUGACUUGACUGAAUCAGCAUCUUUGAGGCAUCUACAAACAGAAUCAGCCUCACUGCGAACACCCGGAGCGACUGCUUCUGUCACGGUACAAAUCCCCAAACUGCGUUGCGUCUGUUGUGACACCACAAGCAGACGAGUUGAAAAAGCGUCUCAUCCGGCGCGAUGGGAUCACGGUGGGGGGACAGCAGAGGAUGAGAGUGUACCUCAGGGGUGUUUGCAGUGCGGUGUUUGCCUCAAUUAGACGAUUAACUUUGCGAUCUUGCAUCUCGAGUCUCGCUUGAAAGGUCUGGUGAGUUCAAAGCCGGGAAUGACGAAGGCGACGCAGGAUAAGAAUGGAGAGGGACCAGCAUCUCACGUGGAGUGAAUCAGUUGGUCUUCCUCUUGGGGAAUGCUAAUGGGGGCAAGAUUGUGCACGGAGAGGAGCUUUCACAUCCAUCGUGUUCAUCCAUCUUCAUGACUGGGUAGAAGUUUGGCCAUAUGGAGCAGCUAACCGUGGAAAGAUGGUCCUGUGGUAUAGCCACAGUAUAGCCAGUGGGAGCACAGCAUGGGUUUAAGGGAGAAAAAGGAGCCUUGUUGGCUUUUCUGUGUCAGAUCAAUACUCACUACAUUUUACAUCUACCACAAUUUGGUUCUUAAAAGAUAUCUUGAUGGAUGGAUCGCUUCAUUUGUCUUUAUUAGGUUAGCCUACAGUGCUAUGACCCGACAUCAACCAAAUCUAUAGAAAAAUCUGGCAGUGCAUUAAUAGCCCAUUGAUAACCAUUAGUCUGAAUCCGUUCAUCGGAAUGAAGCAACAAUUUAGCCAUUUGCACAAUAUACAAUGACACUUUAUAUGUGCAAUAUGUAAAGAUUUGAGUGAUCUGAUUGAGGCACUUUUCUGAAUAUCGGAAACAUUUUUUUUUUCUUUCCCUCUGAUGCACCAUGUACCUGCAAAGUAGUUGUCAAACAACUGCAGUGGAGCAGAACAAUAAUAUCAGCCUCCACAAUGUAUUGAAAUGUUAGUGUAGUGCCUCGAAAUUACACUUAUAUAGAGUGCUUGAGUAAAUGUACUUAGUUAUGUUCCAUUUCUGUAACAGAAAAAAAAGCUUAUUUCCCAAACAGCUCUUUUAAUUUUUUGAAUACAGAAAAUCAAUUGACAGUAUUCAUUCUGUUUACAGUAAAACGAGUGAAUGAAUGAAAAUUCAAAUCUGAAGACAGAGUAAAGUAAAUGAAGCACAGUUGUAAAACUGAACAGGCCUCCUUAAAUUCUGCCACUCUCCCUCCCAUUUACACUCCCAUUAUCUCCCUCCCCUGCUGCCUCUUUUGUGUUUCCACUUUGCAUGCUGCAUUGGUUUGUGCACUGCUGUGGAACUUAAGUGUGCUGUCCUUGGAGUGACUAUCAC